CGGCCGCGUCGACGCAUCGGCUAAUUCCGUGCCAGCAGCCGCGGUAAUACGGAAGAUGCGAGCGUUAUCCGGAUUUAUUGGGUUUAAAGGGAGCGUAGGCCGGCGGUUAAGUCAGCGGUCAAAUUGGGUGGCUCAACCAUCCCCCGCCGUUGAUACUGGCCGCCUUGAGUGUAUUCAAGGCAGAUGGAAUUCGUGGUGUAGCGGUGAAAUGCUUAGAUAUCACGAAGAACUCCGAUUGCGAAGGCAGUCUGCUGGGUUACAACUGACGCUGAGGCUCGAAAGUGCGGGUAUCAAACAGGAUUAGAUACCCUGGUAGUCCGCACAGUAAACGAUGAAUGCUCGUCCUUGGCGAUAUACGGUCAGGGACCAAGCGAAAGCAUUAAGCAUUCCACCUGGGGAGUACGCCGGCAACGGUGAAACUCAAAGGAAUUGACGGGGGCCCGCACAAGCGGAGGAACAUGUGGUUUAAUUCGAUGAUACGCGAG
RNAcentral lists this ribosomal RNA (485 nucleotides) under uncultured bacterium. RNAcentral's name for it is "bacterial SSU rRNA". It matches the Rfam family "Bacterial small subunit ribosomal RNA", at positions 477 to 965 of the family's 1533-position model. The record is from RNAcentral.